RNAcentral lists this ribosomal RNA (437 nucleotides) under uncultured eukaryote. RNAcentral describes it as "SSU rRNA". It matches the Rfam family "Eukaryotic small subunit ribosomal RNA", at positions 592 to 1018 of the family's 1831-position model. The record is from RNAcentral.
CAAUAGCGUAUAUUAAAGUUGUUGCAGUUAAAAGCUCGUAGUUGGAUUUCUGGCAUGAUGCGCCUGGCCCGCCUCGAUUACGAGUGUGUGUGCGAGCGCGCGUCUGCCAUCCAUUUGCAGAAUAUAUCUACCCUUCAUUGGGCCGGAUAUGUGAUGUAAAUCUUUUACUUUGAAAAAUUAGAGUGUUUAAAGCAGGCAUUUGCUAUGAAUACAUUAGCAUGGAAUAAUAAUCUAGGACUUCGGUUCUAUUUUGUUUGGUUUCUUAGAUCUGAAGUAAUGAUUGAUAGGAUAGUUGGGGGUGGCUAGUAUUAAGGGGCCGAGAGGUGGAAAUUACUUGGAUUCUCUUAAGUACUAACUUAUGCGAAAGCAUUCACCAAGGAUGUCUUCUUUUAAUUCAAGAACGAAAGUUGGGGGAGUCGAAGACGAUCAGAUACCGU